This 423-nucleotide ribosomal RNA is filed under the name uncultured bacterium. RNAcentral's name for it is "bacterial SSU rRNA". It matches the Rfam family "Bacterial small subunit ribosomal RNA", at positions 362 to 776 of the family's 1533-position model. The record is from RNAcentral.
UAUUGGACAAUGGGGGCAAUCCUGAUCCAGCCAUGCCGCGUGUGUGAUGAAGGCCCUUUGGCUGUAAAGCACUUUAAGCGGGGCGGAGAGGCUAAUGGUUAAUACCCAUUAGAUUAGACGUUACCUGCAGAAUAAGCACCGGCUAACUCUGUGCCAGCAGCCGCGGUAAUACAGAGGGUGCGAGCGUUAAUCGGAAUUACUGGGCGUAAAGCGAGUGUAGGUGGCUCAUCAAGUCACAUGUGAAAUCCCCGGGCUUAACCUGGGAACUGCAUGUGAUACUGGUGGUGCUAGAAUAUGUGAGAGGGAAGUAGAAUUCCAGGUGUAGCGGUGAAAUGCGUAGAGAUCUGGAGGAAUACCGAUGGCGAAGGCAGCUUCCUGGCAUAAUAUUGACACUGAGAUUCGAAAGCGUGGGUAGCAAACAGG